ACGGAAGGCAGCAGUGAGGAAUAUUGGACAAUGGGGGCAACCCUGAUCCAGCCAAACUGCGUGAGGGAUGAAGGUCCUACGGAUCGUAAACCUCUUUUAUGUGGGAAUAAUUGCAGGUAUGCAUACCUGCUUGAAGGUACCACUUGAAUAAGCAUCGGCUAACUCCGUGCCAGCAGCCGCGGUAAUACGGAGGAUGCAGGCGUUAUCCGGAUUUAUUAGGUUUAAAGGGUGCGCAGGCGGGACAUUAAGUCGGUGGUGAAAUACCGUGGCCCAACCACGGGGCUGCCAUCGAUACUGAUGCCCUUGAGUGCGUGUGACGUAGGCGGAAUAUGGAGUGUAGCGGUGAAAUGCUUAGAUAUUACACAGAACACCGAUUGCGAAGGCAGCCUACGAAUGCGUAACUGACGCUCAUGCACGAAAGCGCGGGUAGCGAACAGGAUUAGAUACCCUGGUA
This 454-nucleotide ribosomal RNA is filed under the name uncultured Ornithobacterium sp. RNAcentral's name for it is "partial 16S ribosomal RNA". It matches the Rfam family "Bacterial small subunit ribosomal RNA", at positions 341 to 792 of the family's 1533-position model. Lineage: Bacteria; Pseudomonadati; Bacteroidota; Flavobacteriia; Flavobacteriales; Weeksellaceae. The record is from RNAcentral.